UGACAAAGGGCUUUCCAAAACCAAAGUUAGU
RNAcentral lists this non-coding RNA (31 nucleotides) under Rattus norvegicus (Norway rat). Lineage: Eukaryota; Metazoa; Chordata; Mammalia; Rodentia; Muridae. The record is from RNAcentral.